Molecule: ribosomal RNA, 379 nt
Filed under: uncultured cyanobacterium
Lineage: Bacteria; Bacillati; Cyanobacteriota
Description: bacterial SSU rRNA
Rfam family: Bacterial small subunit ribosomal RNA
Source: RNAcentral
CGAAAGCCUGACGGAGCAAUACCGCGUGCGGGAGGAAGGCCUUUGGGUCGUAAACCGCUUUUAACAGGGAAGAAGAUCUGACGGUACCUGUUGAAUAAGCCUCGGCUAACUCCGUGCCAGCAGCCGCGGUAAGACGGAGGAGGCAAGCGUUAUCCGGAAUUAUUGGGCGUAAAGCGUCCGCAGGUGGCCUUUCAAGUCUGCUGUUAAAGCCCAGGGCUCAACUCUGGAUCAGCAGUGGAAACUGAAAAGCUAGAGUACGGUAGGGGUAGAGGGAAUUCCCAGUGUAGCGGUGAAAUGCGUAGAUAUUGGGAAGAACACCAGUGGCGAAGGCGCUCUGCUGGGCCGUAACUGACACUCAUGGACGAAAGCUAGGGGAGCG